Molecule: ribosomal RNA, 488 nt
Filed under: uncultured bacterium
Lineage: Bacteria
Description: partial 16S ribosomal RNA
Rfam family: Bacterial small subunit ribosomal RNA
Source: RNAcentral
AGUGAACGCUGGCGGUAGGCCUAACACAUGCAAGUCGAACGGCAGCACAGUAAGAGCUUGCUCUUACGGGUGGCGAGUGGCGGACGGGUGAGGAAUACAUCGGAAUCUACUUUUUCGUGGGGGAUAACGUAGGGAAACUUACGCUAAUACCGCAUACGACCUACGGGUGAAAGCAGGGGAUCUUCGGACCUUGCGCGAUUGAAUGAGCCGAUGUCGGAUUAGCUAGUUGGCGGGGUAAAGGCCCACCAAGGCGACGAUCCGUAGCUGGUCUGAGAGGAUGAUCAGCCACACUGGAACUGAGACACGGUCCAGACUCCUACGGGAGGCAGCGGUGGGGAAUAUUGGACAAUGGGCGCAAGCCUGAUCCAGCCAUACCGCGUGGGUGAAGAAGGCCUUCGGGUUGUAAAGCCCUUUUGUUGGGAAAGAAAAGCAGCAGGUUAAUACCCCGCUGUUCUGACGGUACCCAAAGAAUAAGCACCGGCUAACUU